Molecule: long non-coding RNA, 5944 nt
Filed under: Sus scrofa (pig)
Lineage: Eukaryota; Metazoa; Chordata; Mammalia; Artiodactyla; Suidae
Description: lncRNA (ENSSSCG00000052224.1)
Source: RNAcentral
UAGAGUGACACAAAUUUAUUAUUUUACAGCUCUACAGGUCAGAGAUCUGAAAUGGGUUUCACUGGGCUAGUUAGGUUGUGGGCAGGGCUGAUUCCUUCUGGAGGUGCCAGGAGGAAUCUCUUUCCUUACUUUACCAGCUUCUAGAGGCUGCACCCCUUGGAGCAGAGCCCCUCCCCCACGUUCAAAGCCAGCAGCAGAGCGUCUUCCAGUCUCUCUGACUCUGCCUCUCCUGCCUCCCUCUUUCACUGCUAAGGAUCCUUGUGUCUGUAGGAUUAUCACCCAGAUAAUCCAGAAUGAUCUUUCAUCUCAAGAUCUUUAAUCUUGGAGGAGUUCCCAUAGCGGCUCAGCAGAAACGAACUGACUAGAAUCCAUGAGGAUGCAGGUUCGAUCCCUGGCCUGGUUCAGUGGGUUAAGGAUCCGACAUUGCCAUGAGCUGUGGCCGCAGACAUGGUUUGGAUCUGGCAUUGUUGUGGCUGGGGCAUAGGCUGGUGGCUAUAGCUCCAAUUCAACCCCUACUGAUUAGAGGAUGGACAUCUGGUGGGGCAGGGGGCAGUGUUCUGCCUGGCACAGCGCUGACCCAGGUCCCUGAGCUGUGGUCUGUCUCUCAGAGGACCCUUCACCUUUGCCUGCUGGUUAGCCAAGCAAGACAGUGGCCUCAAGGAAGAAAGCUCUGUGUAAUCUUAGGAAAACAUAUAAUCCAUCCAUACUUCAGUUUCUUCAUCUGUGAAAUUUUAGAAUUGGCUGUUCUCUAAGGUGUCUUCCAAAUCUAAACCCUAUGUUCCUCAUCUCUUUGGAAAAAUAAGCAUUUGAAGAAAUCUGGUUGCUUAAGAAACCAAACUGAUGUUGUUCCCGUGCCGUUGGCGGGUCCUAUGGCCCCACCCUGGGGAGGCUCUACCAGCCCAUGUGGUGGGAGCCAGGGAGGGAGCAGGUGGCCCUCUGCUUUCCCAAAGGCAGAAGAGGGACCCAGGAGGCACAGGUGGGUGUCUGUGGCUGAGAGGCCUCUCCAGGGGAAGACAAUGCAUUGUUCUAGCCCUCUCUGCUGAGUCACCAUUAAAGGCCCUGGGUGAUGGUGCCAAUCUCAGAAAUGGCUGCUGACUCAGAGCUACCCGAGGGGUCCAGGGAAGCACCUGGACCUGCUGGGCCUGCUCCUCUCACGUGGGCACACAGACCCCUUCCGACCUCCCUGGAGCCUCAGGCUCUUAGGAUCGCAGUUCUCAGGACACUGGACAUCCUUCCCUGUCACGUGACAUGGAGCUGUCUUGGGUUUAGACUCUCCAGUUACUCCGAUGAAUCACACUGUUUUGGUGGCUUCCUUCCCUCUCUGGUCUGGCCCUUAAAAUUAGGUUCACUUUGUACCCUCAGCCCCAUGAGCCUCAGAGAGACACCCCAGGUUGUCAAGACUGCUCUGGGCCACCUAUUCCUUCCUUUCCCAAGGUAGUGCCACCUAUCAGCAAGAGCUCUGGGCCAUAGACCGAGAAACCAGGGCUUGCUGUUCCUGUCCUCUGAGCUGCUGUGGGGCAUUUGGCAGUCACACCAUCCCUGUGGGCCACAUGGAGGUUUAACAAUAUUUCCUCCAAAGUCCUUUCCAGCGGCAAUACGAAGGGCUCUGAGGCGAUCCUCCUGAAAGUCCUCUUUGGUUCUGGAAGUCAGUCAUCCUCUCUCAUAGAAUUUCUGAAUAUGGUGGGUCUGGCUCAGCUUAAAGAAAACCAUGGCUAUGCCUUCCUUGGAUUAGCUUUUCCUGUGGCUCUCGUCGGCAGUGUCUGUCCCCCUGCCAGGAAGGUGCUGAUCCACAGCCUCAGGAAUGCCCAGCACUCUGCUCAGGGCCCCUUUCCUUUCCUGUGCAGAUUUCUCAGUCCCGCUUGUCCCACCCAGUCUAGACUAGAUGGUUGCCUCUGUGCGCCAAUCCCUUGGGGGUCACUGUGGAGGUCGGAAACCGAACUGUGACUUACUCUUCACCCCAGUGACAAGCCUUUCAUUCCUCCUUCCUAGUUGGGCCUGCCUAACCAGACCAGCACCAGGGUGAGAGGGGAGAAACUUCUGCUGUGUAGUAACCCUGAGGGCGGGCGCUACUCAGUGGGUGGAUGUCACCUCUGUCCCUGGAAGCUCUGGGACAUCCAGGGCCCCACCCACCUCUCCAGGGCCUAGGUAUAAGGCCUUGUACCCCUGCCUCAAGCCCAGCCAGUUUGCCAAAGUUCCAGAACUUUCUUGGACACUUUGAACUAUACAGGUGCUCUCUGAAAGAGAACAGAGUUGCCUUCUGCCUCAUCCAUUUCAGAGUCAGCUGGUGUCUUGUGUCCCCUUUAAAAAAAAAAAAAAAUCUUUUUCUACUCAUCCAGCAAAGAGCGCUUAUUUAUCUCACGAAUUUGAGCACCACCCUCACCUCUUCAGAAGGAAACCACACAAACUGGGUGCUGUAAACUAGCUUCCCACAGCGUUGGGGGCACACGGGGCCUCCUGGGGAGGGUCUCCCCUCCUCCAGGGUGUAUACUCAGCUGCAGAGCACAGAAAGGCCUAUUGUUCCGCCGGCCACGUGCUGGGUGUCCCCCCUCCCCCCUCCCAGGAGGUAGAAACGCUGCCUGGAGACCUUAUCAUCUCCUGCCUGGCUUUCUGUUUGGUUUUGUUUCUGGUCUUUCCUUUUUUUGUGGUACUUCCUGGCCCAGACCCCCAGCCGCUUGCUGCACCUUGUUCGUCCCGUACCCCAUGCCCAGCGAAUGCCUUUUGCGUGCCUUUGAUGUCCCAGCUCAGUUCUGGGGGAGCAGAGUGAACAACUCCCCCUUCGAGGCUCUGGGGGUUCGGCAGAGGGAGGGAACAAAGGCACGGCGUGGGCAGGGCCCAGGCCCAAUCCACGGGGGCCUACAGCUCCCCAGUGAGUGUUGGGACAUGGACACGGCAGGGGCUGGGCCGCCAACAUUGGCAAUGUCAUAGGUCUUCGGAGCAUCCAGCGCACCGGCUCAGAGGAGGAGUGUUGCAGGAGGAGCCAGGAAAUUCUGGUUGGUCCCACUCCGCCACCGUGUGACCCCGCAUGACCCACACCUCCCAGGGGAGACUCUGUGCCCCAAGAGGGGGCAAGAGCCCCCGUCCUGCCUGCGUACUUCCUGGGGCUGAGGUAGAGAGGCCGCUAACACAACCCUCUCCGAGGAAACGCUGGGAGAAGCAAAGGGCCUUUGUGAGUCAGCAGUGGGAGUCGUUGCUUGGUCCUUGCCCACCGUUUACCCUGAACCCUGCCACACUAGUUCCAGUAAACACCUAGUGGGCUUGUGCUGCCCCCUAGUGGCAAAAUCGAGUCCUCAUAAUUCACUUCCAGUUAAAUUUCAAUUCUCUUAAAAAUAUCAGAAAAAUUACUAAGGAUGAGUAUGAAUAUAUAUAUAUAUAUAUACAUAUAUGUAUAUAUAUAUAGAGAGAGAGCCCAGCCUGGAUUUUAUCUAUUUUUAUACCAGUGCAUUCAUAAAAUAUAUUUAAAAAUAUUUAUUAAUGGAGGAAGUCACCCAUGAAGGCAAAAGUGCCCAACACAGCCCUGGACCCAAGGAGGAAGGCAUGUCCCAGCUCCCCCUUCCUCAGGCCGCUAGCCGGCUGCUGGCUGCUCCUCCAAGCCUGCGGGGAGGCCUGCCUGGGGCCUGCUGGUGGCCUCUUGUCAAGGCCUUACCAAAAAGGCUGGUACUUGCCCCGAGAUGAUGGAGAUAAGAUGGAGGAACAGAUGGAGAAACCAAAGCAAUAUGGCUGCUUUUCUUCAGCCUUUAAAAAAACUUUUAAAAUCCCCAAAGAGUACAAAACACCAUGAGAAAUAGUUCCUUUUCUCUUUGCUAAUAUUGAGACAGGACUAGUUGACCUGGAGAGACAUUAUGGCUCCUGAAUUUUUUUUUUUUUCUUUUUCUUUUUUGGCCUCCCUGUGGCAUAUGGAGGUGCUGGGCCCAGGAUCAGAUCCUAGUCACAGCUGCAACCUACCUGGGAUAUUGAACCCACUGCGCCAGGCCAGGGAUUGAACCUGGGUCCCAGUGCUGCAGAGACACUGCCAAUCCCAUUGCACCAUAGCAGGAACUCCGGGGCUCCUGCACACUAAUGAUAACAAGUGACCAAUAACCUCUGGCUUCCCUCUUUAUGAGAAGUGUCCUCAGAGGCUGCAUACCUCAUCCCCCAGGGAGCAACUGGCCCUGUUUUCAGACAAGGAAUUUGGAGUCUAAGAGGUCACAGGCUUGUGAAAGGGAAACCCUAGCUUGAACCCAGGGAUUGGGGCUUCAGAUUCUCACUCUCCUCACUGCUUUGAGUGCUGGGAGUUGAAUGACACACACCCCUCUACAAGGUUGGGAGGAAAAUGCUGCAGAAAAAGUCCACAAUGCUUUUCCCUCCAUACCUGUGAAAUUAGUAAUCUAGUCAACAGUCAUCCUCUAAUCAUGAUGAAUAAUCAACUGAAAACUCCUGCCCUUUGACCUGGUUAACUGCUUUCCUUUCUCCUUUUCAUGUGACAGAGAUUCCUGAAGAGCCUUGCACAUUCCUAAUAGUUCUUCACACCCUCUCUCAGGCCUUCCCAGGCCUCUGAGAAGCUUCCCUUGAGACUCAGCUUCCUGGCAUUGGAUCUGGGAUGAAAGGUCCCUGGGCUUCUGGAGGCUUCCUUCCAGGCCCCCCUCCAGCUCCACGUACCCUCUCCCUUCCCCUAAGCGGGGCCCAGAUGAUGGGCAGAAUUGAGAAGAAUGUUGUCAGUUUGGUACCAUGUCUUGUCUUGCUUUGAGGAAACCAAUGUGCACAACACUGAAAAGCAUGGAGGGUUUGACGGUGGUGGGACGGGGGGCAGCCAUGUCACAGAGGCCUAGGAGACCCAGGAAGGCAGUUGAUGACCCGUCACAGGUGCUGGGUUUGCUGAGAAGGGCUUCUGAUACCCGCAGUGCAGUGAAGUGACGUGAAGACUGCAUCUUUACCCACAGGAGGUGCAAACAUCCGAGUGAGUGUGCAGAAAACUUUCUUCCAGAGCUUUCAUCUCUGGGGUGGAAUCAAGUGGGAUCAUAUGUGCCUUCUUACAGUCUAGGAAAACUCACAUUCCAUAAGCAUCUCUGAGGUGCAGCCCUUGGCCAUUGGAAACCCUUGUUAAGUAGGGAUUAUUUGCCCAGCUUUAGUUGCUCAGCUUUACAUAUUAGUAAACUGAAGUUCAGAGAGGCUGAGAGAUUUAGCCAAGAUCACAAAGCUAGUUGGGAGAGUAUUGACUCAGGGCAUGAUAUAAGCUCCAGAAACCCUUGAAACCAUAGUUUGCCUGACCCAAGACACCCUGGAUACGUCUCUCCUUGAGACUGAGGGGAGUCCCUUGUAGCACUCUAGGUAAGAGCGGAUGAUCUCCCCAUCAGUCGGAUUUCUAAGUUGAGUGAUCGGAGGUUAUGCGUACAGGUGCCUGCCCAGGCACUGGCCUUUGUCCCAGUCUCCCAUUCCCUUCCUCCACGGGCACACGAAGGUCAAGUCCUGACUGUGUCAGUCCCUGUGGACUCAUCUGUCUAUCUGCCACAGAUGUCUAGCAGCUGACCAAGAUAAGAAUGGAGUGAAUGGGCUUUGGAGCCAGGUGGGCUUGGGUGUAAAUUUCAACUUCUGCCAUAUUUUCAGGGAAAACUCAGGUUUUAGCAUGGGGAUGGGGGUGAGGAGGUUCGAGUCAGAAUCCUGCAGUCUCUGCCAGCCUCUGAGUAGAGGAGGGGUGGGAGCCAGCCGCCAGCCAUCCCCAUAACAGCAAGGCCUUCCUGCCCCCAGGUGGGGAAAGAGCCCACCGCCGACAGCGGGCAGCACCCAGCUCAAGGGAUACAAUUUCAGGGCCCAAACAAGACUCAGAUGGCUCUGGUCCUCCAAACUCUCUCCCAUACACUAGUCCAAAACUCACUUUCAAGGCCCACUGUAACCAUCCCUGGGGGUGAGGGAGGGGUGGGGAAUGACACGUCACAAUGUUUAAAAGAACACUGGGGAGAGCAUUAGCAUG